AAUAACGGAAGGAAAAGAAACUUACCAAGGAUUCCCCUAGUAACUGCGAGUAAAGCGGGAANAGCUCAAAUUUAAAAUCUGGCGCCCUUGUGAACGUCCGAGUUGUAGUCUGAAAAAGUGUUAUCCGCGUCGGACCGUGCACAAGUCUCCUGGAACGGAGCGUCAUAGAGGGUGAGAAUCCCGUCCAUGGCACGGACGCCCGAUGCUUAUGCGAGGCACUCUCAAAGAGUCGAGUUGUUUGGGAAUGCAGCUCAAAAUGGGUGGUAAAUUCCAUCUAAAGCUAAAUAUUGGCGAGAGACCGAUAGCGAACAAGUACCGUGAGGGAAAGAUGAAAAGCACUUUGGAAAGAGAGUUAAACAGUACGUGAAAUUGUUGAAAGGGAAACGCUCGAAGUCAGUCGCGUCCCGUGGAACUCAGCCUGGUUUCGGCCUGGUGUACUUUCCAUUGCGGGACGGGUCAACGUCAAUUUCGGCCGGUGGACAAGGGCGAGGGGAAUGUAGCGUUGCUUCGGCGACGUGUUAUAGCCCCGCGUCGUAUACGCCGGCCGGGAUUGAGGACCGCAGCACGCCCUUGUGGCCGGGGGGGUUCGCGCCCCCCACGUAACGUGCUUAGGAUGUUGGCAUAAGGCUUUAAAAUGG
RNAcentral lists this ribosomal RNA (638 nucleotides) under Phellinus igniarius. Its description in RNAcentral is "eukaryotic LSU rRNA". It matches the Rfam family "Eukaryotic large subunit ribosomal RNA", at positions 45 to 647 of the family's 3401-position model. Lineage: Eukaryota; Fungi; Basidiomycota; Agaricomycetes; Hymenochaetales; Hymenochaetaceae. The record is from RNAcentral.